AGUUGGUGGAGUGAUUUGUCUGGUUAAUUCCGUUAACGAACGAGACCCCCGCCUGCUAAAUAGAGACGUUUGCAAUGCUUAGCAUUGUCGUCUAUCUACUUCUUAGAGGGACUUUUGGUGACUAACCAAAGGAAGUUGGGGGCAAUAACAGG
This 152-nucleotide ribosomal RNA is filed under the name Ochrophyta sp. RNAcentral's name for it is "partial small subunit ribosomal RNA". It matches the Rfam family "Eukaryotic small subunit ribosomal RNA", at positions 1296 to 1460 of the family's 1831-position model. The record is from RNAcentral.